AUUAGAUGAUGAAUCCAUCCCAAACCUGAUUCUAUGUGAGUGAAACUCUUAUACAGAUCUGACUUCUGAUAA
Coregonus clupeaformis (lake whitefish) is the source of this 72-nucleotide small nucleolar RNA. RefSeq annotates it as small nucleolar RNA SNORD50. The transcript has a single exon. The record is from RefSeq and is a predicted model, not a curated record. Lineage: Eukaryota; Metazoa; Chordata; Actinopteri; Salmoniformes; Salmonidae.